UACGGAGGGUGCGAGCGUUGUCCGGAAUCAUUGGGCGUAAAGGGCGCGUAGGUGGCGGGACAAGCGGGCGGUGAAAGCCUGGGGCUCAACCCCGGGUCGGCCGUGCGAACUGUUUUGCUUGAGCACUGUAGAGGCAGGCGGAAUUCCGGGUGUAGCGGUGAAAUGCGCAGAUAUCAGGAGGAACACCGGUGGCGAAGGCGGGUCUCUGGGCCGAUACUGACGCUGAGGAGCGAAAGCGUGGGGAGCAAACAGG
RNAcentral lists this ribosomal RNA (253 nucleotides) under uncultured bacterium. RNAcentral's name for it is "partial 16S ribosomal RNA". It matches the Rfam family "Bacterial small subunit ribosomal RNA", at positions 524 to 776 of the family's 1533-position model. The record is from RNAcentral.